Cololabis saira (Pacific saury) is the source of this 387-nucleotide non-coding RNA. Lineage: Eukaryota; Metazoa; Chordata; Actinopteri; Beloniformes; Belonidae. The record is from the annotation of a RefSeq genome assembly.
AUGUUUGCAGCUGUGUUCCUGUUGUCAGUAGUGGGAUGUGUGAAGUGUGAACUGCUGACUCAGCCGGCCUCUGUGACUGUGCAGCCAGGUCAUCGUCUGACCCUCAGCUGUCAGGUCUCUUAUUCUGUGAGCAGCUAUUGGACAAACUGGCUCAGACAACCUGCUGGGAAAGCACUGGAGUGGAUUGGAUAUGCAAAAGUUGGAGAAUCAUCAGGCUACCAAGAGUCACUUAAAAACAAGUUCAGCAUUUCUGCAGACUCUACCAGCAACACGGUGACUCUGAAUGGACAGAACAUGCAGCCUGAAGACUCUGCUGUGUAUUAUUGUGCCAGAUACCACAGUGACACAAACAUCAGCAGACCUGAACAAAAACCUCUCAGAGCCUGA